UAUGGUGAGUACUGCUAUGGGCCCUCCUUUCUGCCCGGGGACGGGCUCCUGGGCUUCACUGUCCCGGGACUCGGAGUCGGCGUUGUUACUUUGAGUAAAUUAGAGUGUUCAAAUCAGGCAUACGCCCUGAAUACUUUAGCAUGGAAUAACACGAUAGGACUCUGGCCUAUCUUGUUGGUCUGUAGGACCGGGAGUAAUGAUUAAGAGGGACAGUCGGGGGCAUUCGUAUUUCAUUGUCAGAGGUGAAAUUCUUGGAUUUAUGAAAGACGAACUACUGCGAAAGCAUUUGCCAAGGAUGUUUUCAUUAAUCAAGAACGAAAGUUGGGGGCUCGAAGACGAUUAGAUACCGUCGUAGUCUCAACCAUAAACGAUGCCGACUAGGGAUUGG
Molecule: ribosomal RNA, 388 nt
Filed under: Pediastrum sp. JW15
Lineage: Eukaryota; Viridiplantae; Chlorophyta; Chlorophyceae; Sphaeropleales; Hydrodictyaceae
Description: SSU rRNA
Rfam family: Eukaryotic small subunit ribosomal RNA
Source: RNAcentral